CGGCGAUGUCCGAAUGGGGAAACCCAGUGCAAUUCGUUGCACUAUCGUUAACUGAAUACAUAGGUUAACGAGGCGAACCGGGGGAACUGAAACAUCUAAGUACCCCGAGGAAAAGAAAUCAACCGAGAUUCCCCCAGUAGCGGCGAGCGAACGGGGAGCAGCCCAGAGUCUGAAUCAGCUUGUGUGUUAGUGGAACGGUCUGGAAAGUCCGACGGUACAGGGUGAUAGUCCCGUACACCAAAAUGCACAGGCUGUGAACUCGAAGAGUAGGGCGGGACACGUGGUAUCCUGUCUGAAUAUGGGGGGACCAUCCUCCAAGGCUAAAUACUCCUGACUGACCGAUAGUGAACCAGUACCGUGAGGGAAAGGCGAAAAGAACCCCGGCGAGGGGAGUGAAAAAGAACCUGAAACCGUGUACGUACAAGCAGUGGGAGCACCUUCGGGUGUGACUGCGUACCUUUUGUAUAAUGGGUCAGCGACUUAUAUUCUGUAGCAAGGUUAACCGUAUAGGGGAGCCGCAGGGAAACCGAGUCUUAACUGGGCGUUAAGUUGCAGGGUAUAGACCCGAAACCCGGUGAUCUAGCCAUGGGCAGGUUGAAGGUUGGGUAACACUAACUGGAGGACCGAACCGACUAAUGUUGAAAAAUUAGCGGAUGACUUGUGGCUGGGGGUGAAAGGCCAAUCAAACCGGGAGAUAGCUGGUUCUCCCCGAAAGCUAUUUAGGUAGCGCCUCGUGAAUUCAUCUUCGGGGGUAGAGCACUGUUUCGGCUAGGGGGUCAUCCCGACUUACCAACCCGAUGCAAACUACGAAUACCGAAGAAUGUUAUCACGGGAGACACACGGCGGGUGCUAACGUCCGUCGUGAAGAGGGAAACAACCCAGACCGCCAGCUAAGGUCCCAAAGUCAUGGUUAAGUGGGAAACGAUGUGGGAAGGCACAGACAGCCAGGAUGUUGGCUUAGAAGCAGCCAUCAUUUAAAGAAAGCGUAAUAGCUCACUGGUCGAGUCGGCCUGCGCGGAAGAUGUAACGGGGCUAAACCAUGCACCGAAGCUGCGGCAGCGACACUAUGUGUUGUUGGGUAGGGGAGCGUUCUGUAAGCCUGCGAAGGUGUGCUGUGAGGCAUGCUGGAGGUAUCAGAAGUGCGAAUGCUGACAUAAGUAACGAUAAAGCGGGUGAAAAGCCCGCUCGCCGGAAGACCAAGGGUUCCUGUCCAACGUUAAUCGGGGCAGGGUGAGUCGACCCCUAAGGCGAGGCCGAAAGGCGUAGUCGAUGGGAAACAGGUUAAUAUUCCUGUACUUGGUGUUACUGCGAAGGGGGGACGGAGAAGGCUAUGUUAGCCGGGCGACGGUUGUCCCGGUUUAAGCAUGUAGGCUGGUUGUCCAGGCAAAUCCGGAUAAUCAAGGCUGAGGUGUGAUGACGAGGCACUACGGUGCUGAAGUAACAAAUGCCCUGCUUCCAGGAAAAGCCUCUAAGCAUCAGGUAACAUCAAAUCGUACCCCAAACCGACACAGGUGGUCAGGUAGAGAAUACCAAGGCGCUUGAGAGAACUCGGGUGAAGGAACUAGGCAAAAUGGUGCCGUAACUUCGGGAGAAGGCACGCUGGUGUGUAGGUGAAGCCCCUGCGGGUGGAGCUGAGACCAGUCGAAGAUACCAGCUGGCUGCAACUGUUUAUUAAAAACACAGCACUGUGCAAACACGAAAGUGGACGUAUACGGUGUGACGCCUGCCCGGUGCCGGAAGGUUAAUUGAUGGGGUUAUCCGUAAGGAGAAGCUCUUGAUCGAAGCCCCGGUAAACGGCGGCCGUAACUAUAACGGUCCUAAGGUAGCGAAAUUCCUUGUCGGGUAAGUUCCGACCUGCACGAAUGGCGUAAUGAUGGCCAGGCUGUCUCCACCCGAGACUCAGUGAAAUUGAACUCGCUGUGAAGAUGCAGUGUACCCGCGGCAAGACGGAAAGACCCCGUGAACCUUUACUAUAGCUUGACACUGAACAUUGAGCCUUGAUGUGUAGGAUAGGUGGGAGGCUUUGAAGCGUGGACGCCAGUCUGCGUGGAGCCAACCUUGAAAUACCACCCUUUAAUGUUUGAUGUUCUAACGUUGGCCCCUUACCGGGGUUGCGGACAGUGUCUGGUGGGUAGUUUGACUGGGGCGGUCUCCUCCCAAAGCGUAACGGAGGAGCACGAAGGUUAGCUAAUCCUGGUCGGACAUCAGGAGGUUAGUGCAAUGGCAUAAGCUAGCUUGACUGCGAGCGUGACGGCGCGAGCAGGUGCGAAAGCAGGUCAUAGUGAUCCGGUGGUUCUGAAUGGAAGGGCCAUCGCUCAACGGAUAAAAGGUACUCCGGGGAUAACAGGCUGAUACCGCCCAAGAGUUCAUAUCGACGGCGGUGUUUGGCACCUCGAUGUCGGCUCAUCACAUCCUGGGGCUGAAGUAGGUCCCAAGGGUAUGGCUGUUCGCCAUUUAAAGUGGUACGCGAGCUGGGUUUAGAACGUCGUGAGACAGUUCGGUCCCUAUCUGCCGUGGGCGCUGGAGAAUUGAGGGGGGCUGCUCCUAGUACGAGAGGACCGGAGUGGACGCAUCACUGGUGUUCGGGUUGUCAUGCCAAUGGCACUGCCCGGUAGCUAAAUGCGGAAGAGAUAAGUGCUGAAAGCAUCUAAGCACGAAACUUGCCCCGAGAUGAGUUCUCCCUGAGACUUUAAGUCUCCUGAAGGAACGUUAAAGACGAUGACGUUGAUAGGCCGGGUGUGUAAGCGCAGCGAUGCGUUGAGCUAACCGGUACUAAUGAACCGUGAGGCUUAACCUU
This 2797-nucleotide ribosomal RNA is filed under the name Klebsiella pneumoniae. RNAcentral describes it as "bacterial LSU rRNA". It matches the Rfam family "Bacterial large subunit ribosomal RNA". Lineage: Bacteria; Pseudomonadati; Pseudomonadota; Gammaproteobacteria; Enterobacterales; Enterobacteriaceae. The record is from RNAcentral.